RNAcentral lists this ribosomal RNA (518 nucleotides) under uncultured bacterium. RNAcentral's name for it is "bacterial SSU rRNA". It matches the Rfam family "Bacterial small subunit ribosomal RNA", at positions 15 to 518 of the family's 1533-position model. The record is from RNAcentral.
GAUCCUGGCUUAGGAUGAACGCUAGCGACAGGCUUAACACAUGCAAGUCGAGGGGCGAGCGCGGGGGUAGCCAAUACUCCUGGCGGCGACCGGCGCACUGGUGAGUAACACGUAUGCGACCUGCCCCGGACAGGGGGAUAAACCCGGGAAACUGGGCCUAAUACCCCAUACGCCCCGAGGAUGCAUGUCCUCCGGGUGAAAGAUCCGGUCGGUCCGGGAUGGGCAUGCGGCGCAUUAGCUUGUUGGCGGGGCAACGGCCCACCAAGGCGACGAUGCGUAGGGGUUCUGAGAGGAAGGUCCCCCACACUGGUACUGAGACACGGACCAGACUCCUACGGGAGGCAGCAGUGAGGAAUAUUGGUCGAAAUGGGCGCAGGCCUGAACCAGCCAAAGUCGCGUGCGGGAUGAAAGGCCCUCCGGGUCGUAAACCGCUUUAGCCGGGGAGUAACGCGUGGGACGCGUCCCACAGUGAGAGUACCCGGAGAAUAAGCAUCGGCUAACUCCGUGCCAGCCGCGGC